Molecule: long non-coding RNA, 963 nt
Filed under: Piliocolobus tephrosceles (Ugandan red Colobus)
Lineage: Eukaryota; Metazoa; Chordata; Mammalia; Primates; Cercopithecidae
Description: lncRNA (ENSPTEG00000012005.1)
Source: RNAcentral
UAUAUAUAUAUAUAUAUAUAUAUAUAUAUAUAUGUAUUUUUGUGUGUGUAUUUGAACAUGUUAUACAUAUUGAUAAAAACUGCUUUUCUCACAUUUAUUUUUUAAAAAUAUUAUUACCAUUAUACUUGUAGUAGAAUAAUUUUCAAAAAAAUACUGUUGCAAAAUGAAAGAAAUGACAUAGAGAAAUAUAAUUACAACAUAUACCUUUUGUUAUCUUUCUUAAAAAACCCUAACAUUAAUGAAGCAACACAAAAAACAAUUGACUUAGACGUGUUGCGAACUCGAAUCGAUAAAGAUAAUGAGAAAACAAUUUAUUUUUUUAAUUUGUUUUUAAAUUAUGUAUGUAACAACUUUCAGUUUAAAUAUAAACAAGGGUUAAAUGAAAUACUAGCAUUUUUUUUUUCUCUUAAAGGAAAAUACUUUAACAUGGUUGAUGUUUAUUUCUGUUUUCAAAAUUUUGUUAAAGGAUUUGUUAAAGAGUUUUAUUAUGAUGAUGAAUUUUUUUUUUUGCAAGUCUCCUUUUAUUUGUUUAAAAUUUUGAUAAAGUAUCAUGAUCCGCAGUUAGCUGAAGUAUUAGAAACUAACAAUAUGAGUCCUGAAAUAUAUGCCUCGUCCUGGUUUUUAACUUUGUUUGCAUCCAAAAGCAACAUUGAUGUUUUAAAUUCGAUAUAUUUAAUUAUGUUGUUGGAGCGUAAUCCGUUUUUUUAUUUUUUUUUUUCAUUAGCACUUCUAAUACUUCAUAGAAGCAUUUUUUUAUGCAUUGAUAGUUCUAAUUUACCAGAACUGUUAUGUAAAAUAAACAUUUUUAAUAAAAAAAAUUUUAAAAAAAGUAAAAAAAAAAAUAUAUACAAAUAUAUACAUAUGCAUUAUUGAAAAUAUAAACAGUAUGUAAAAAAAUCACUUGUUAUUCUGCUUACUUAUAUUUAUAUGUACAUAUAUAUAUAUGUGCCUAUAUAUGGAUUU